GCAUCAUUUGCACCCAAAACAGAACCCAACCUCCAUCUCCCUCUCUCUAAAAAAAUCCGGUCACCGGAUUAGGGUUCCGGCGACCCUUCCGGCGCCGCCUUUCCGGUGAGCCACAGCCAAACAAACCGGACAAGACCCCCACCUCUACCACUCUCGUUCUCCUCUCCCUCCCAGCACAAACGGCCGACCACCACCGCAGUGGUGGCGGCGCACAAACAACAGCAACAAUCGCAUUCUUGCGGCGUUGAAGGUGUUGUGGUGGAAAUCAAGGCGACGGCGGCAGCGGCACGAGCUUGGUCCGACGAGCUCCAACCGGUUUCAUGAACGGUUCAACACGGUUCAGUUCAGUUGGUUCGGGUCAUGUCAGUUUCGGUUCCGGCUCGGGUCUCGGUUCAAGAUUUGGACUUUAUUUUCGGUUCGGGUCAUGGUUCCAGUUUCUAGUUCAAGAUUCGAUUCCAGUUCGGGUGCUACGGGUCAGACUCGAGCUUCGGUUCAGCAUGUCAGCUCCGGUUCAGUUUUCAUCGAGUCAACGUGGUGUCUUGGUUCGGUUCAGUUUUGGCUCAUGUUCAGUUCGUGUCAGCUUCGGUUCGGUCAACAGUAGUCAACUGGUCAAACCCGGUUAACUAACGGGUCAACGACUCAUUCGAAAUUCGGAUAAACACUCUCGUUCGUACUCUUGGAUUCCCAAUCUUACUCGUGCGUUACUUACAAGAAAUCGCAAACGCAACCAAUGUUGAUGAGGACGAUGCUAAGAAAAGAAGUAGCGUUGAUGCCUAGAUACACAU
Helianthus annuus (common sunflower) is the source of this 785-nucleotide long non-coding RNA. RefSeq lists it as uncharacterized. The transcript is spliced from 3 exons. The record is from RefSeq and is a predicted model, not a curated record. Lineage: Eukaryota; Viridiplantae; Streptophyta; Magnoliopsida; Asterales; Asteraceae.